Molecule: transfer RNA, 72 nt
Filed under: Camelus ferus (Wild Bactrian camel)
Lineage: Eukaryota; Metazoa; Chordata; Mammalia; Artiodactyla; Camelidae
Rfam family: tRNA
About the family: Transfer RNA (tRNA) molecules are approximately 80 nucleotides in length. Their secondary structure includes four short double-helical elements and three loops (D, anti-codon, and T loops).
Source: Rfam by way of RNAcentral
GGUGGUAUAGCUCAGAGGCAGAGCACGUGCCUGGCAUGCACAAGGUCCUGGGCUCAAUCCCCAGUACUGCCA